Molecule: long non-coding RNA, 210 nt
Filed under: Zalophus californianus (California sea lion)
Lineage: Eukaryota; Metazoa; Chordata; Mammalia; Carnivora; Otariidae
Description: lncRNA (ENSZCAG00015004213.1)
Source: RNAcentral
AUUUAAGGACACCAGAUGAAAAAUAAUGGGCUUUCUCUGAAAGGGCCCAAGGUGCAGCCAGGAGCUUCUUGGGACUGCUUGCAUCUGGAGGUUGCUGGAACAUUGCAUCAACUGCCUAGAUGGCAGGUGGCAGUUCUUCUUGCAAAGUCAUGGGAGAAAGUCAUCAAAUCUACAAUAAAGUAAAUACCCCUUAAUCUUACUCUUUUCUCA